This 1115-nucleotide long non-coding RNA is filed under the name Struthio camelus australis. RNAcentral describes it as "lncRNA (ENSSCUG00000007158.1)". The record is from RNAcentral. Lineage: Eukaryota; Metazoa; Chordata; Aves; Struthioniformes; Struthionidae.
GCUGGAGACUGCUGUGGUGGCGACUUGCGAUAGGCUCUCAUUGCAGAGUUGGCUUGUUCCUAUCUUUGUCUGCAAAGGGCAGGGACGGGGAGACGCACAGGAGGAAAACGGAAAGAAAAGCAUGAAGGAAAUCAGCUUCUGUUAGUGCUGUCUCCCACGUUUGCUGAGAAUAAGAACCCCUGGAGGGUUUUUACCCUCUGAACUUUUAACUUUCGGCAUUGACUACUGCUUCCAGCAGGACUGUCAGAUAUUGUGCCUCUUUUAAGGAACUUCUCUUCUUGCCUGAAAGUAAGCCACAUGAAUCAAUGGGGCAAUAACCUUACUCUGUGGUGAAACUCAUCCCUAAGAGUAGAGAGAAGAAUCCAAAGACUUCAUUCCGGGCUCAGCUUUGUCUACCCAGUACUUCUUCAAAAUAACCACUUGACAUGGUAGAUCUUAGGAUGAUUUUUCCGGCUGCUCAGUAUGUCACAGACCAAACAGGAGUUAAGGCUUGCUCACGCUGGAGAGUGAUAUAUAAGCAAAGAUGGGGAGCUUCCACUUUGGCGUUGCCUAGACUGAAAUGCAUUGAUGGAUGGUCAGCUAUUUGUUGCAUUAUUUUGAUGCUGGAACAAAGAUACCUUCCUAAGCAUGUUUUUAGGACAGGGAUGGGGUGUUUCCUGCCUCGCAACGUGUGAGCCACUGCAGAAGCUCGAGGAACACUUCUGCGCAGCAGUGGGUUCCCAUCCUUUGCAAACCAUGGUGAGUUGAGGAGCUGGAUCUCAAAGCCCAUUGAUGAGCUGGCUCCAGACCUUGUGAGCAUUUCCAGCGAUUCCCAGAGCUUGGGUGACAAAGGCGUCAUGCCAACAAAGAGGAGGUAAGCUUGUCUUGGUUAACAUUCCUCUCUGCAUGCAAAAAUUCAUUUACAAGCUAUUUCUUAGGGAAUCAGUUAGACCUGAUAGUUACCAUGGGCCUGGGUUUGAAUGUAAAGCCUGCUAGCCAUUCCUGAGUAUCUCUGUGCCUGUCUGCACUAAAUGCAGGGUGUGUACAAUGGACAAAUCUAUAUUUAGACAAGCCCUACUAGCAGCUUAGCAAAGACUUAAAAUAAACUUCUUCCAUUGUGGAAUCUUUCUUUAUGU